Molecule: ribosomal RNA, 411 nt
Filed under: uncultured Corynebacterium sp.
Lineage: Bacteria; Bacillati; Actinomycetota; Actinomycetes; Mycobacteriales; Corynebacteriaceae
Description: bacterial SSU rRNA
Rfam family: Bacterial small subunit ribosomal RNA
Source: RNAcentral
UGGGGAAUAUUGCACAAUGGGCGCAAGCCUGAUGCAGCGACGCCGCGUGGGGGAUGAAGGCCUUCGGGUUGUAAACUCCUUUCGCUAGGGAAGAAGCCUUUUUGGUGACGGUACCUGGAUAAGAAGCACCGGCUAACUACGUGCCAGCAGCCGCGGUAAUACGUAGGGUGCGAGCGUUGUCCGGAAUUACUGGGCGUAAAGAGCUCGUAGGUGGUUUGUCGCGUCGUCUGUGAAAUCCCGGGGCUUAACUUCGGGCGUGCAGGCGAUACGGGCAUAACUAGAGUGCUGUAGGGGAGACUGGAAUUCCUGGUGUAGCGGUGAAAUGCGCAGAUAUCAGGAGGAACACCGAUGGCGAAGGCAGGUCUCUGGGCAGUUACUGACGCUGAGGAGCGAAAGCAUGGGUAGCGAACA